Mobula hypostoma (lesser devil ray) is the source of this 1213-nucleotide long non-coding RNA. RefSeq lists it as uncharacterized. The record is from RefSeq and is a predicted model, not a curated record. The transcript has 3 exons. NCBI's taxonomy places the organism in Eukaryota, Metazoa, Chordata, Chondrichthyes, Myliobatiformes, Myliobatidae.
GAGGACCUCGACACCAUAAUGAUGGUGUCGAGACUAGCGCGUGAUUUGGAUUUAAGUGAGGGAGAGUUGCGCAGCGUCAGCCUCACUCUCUCUUCCCAAUUCCCAUCUGGAUCCAGUGGCAAGACAGAGUCUAGACGGCUGGAGAUGCAAUAAUUUGAUAGAAUGCCAAUGGUGUUUGUUUCACUUCAGACAUCUUCCAGAUCAUAAUGAAGUGAUUUUUCUGAGGAAUCCAUUGGACACUAUGUUAUUUGAGUGAUGUCUCAUCUCAGCUCCAAACUGGAAGAUCCACAGUGACAUUCUGAAAAAGAGUCCUUCAAUAUUUGGGAAAGUUUUGAGGUUCUUUUGAAGACCCUGAGCUGGAGUUACACACUGACUUCAGUUCUUUGCGGGAAUGGGACCAGCUCUCGGAGUUUCAUAACCGGCUGUUGUUGUUCGUCAUGCCAAGGGCUCAGCCUAAGAGUCUGGCUCAGAUUUGGAAGCCUUGGAUCUUAGGGCUCUGGAGUGGGCAGAUCGAGGGUCAGUGUCUCGGCAGGAGGCCUGUGUGUCGUCAGGGGAGUCAAAAUAUCUACGGCUGGAGACCCGAGAUCUUCGGGCACAGAGCUCGAUAAAAGCGACGUAAUGGACUUUUACCAUCGUAAGCCAGAGAGUUGUUUGUUAUGUCUCCUCACUCACUGGGAAAAUGGAGACACCUCCUUCUCCCUUAUUAGGGAGAGAGAGAGCCUAUGGAUACUGACUCACCAGCAGUUGGACCUUCCAGAUUCAGGUGUAUUUUUACUACAAUCAAUUGAAGCAACUUGACUGCACACAGGUCUCCAAAAACAGAUCUCCGUUUAACUAAUUAUAUGACUUCUAAAACCAACUGGCUGCACCAGUGAUGAUUUGGUGUGUAUUAAAGGGAGGUAAAUACUUAUGCAAUCAAUUAUUUUGUGUUUCAUAUUUGUAAUUAAUUUAGAUCACUUUGUAGAGAUCUGUUUUCACUUUGACACGAAAGAGUCUUUUUCUGUUGAUCAUUGUCAAAAAAGCCAAAUUAAAUCCGCUAUGAUUCAAUGUUGUAAAACAAUAAAAUAUGAAAACUUCCAAGGGGGGGGAGGGGCCGAAUUAUUUUUAUAGGCACUGUACGUGCAAAAAAUUGAAAUUCAGAAGACUGAAAUUUAUAAAUUUAUUUAAUAAAAUAAGGUCUUAUCAAGUAACAUUUAACAUGAAAGAGUAUAAG